CCCGCUGAACUUAAGCAUAUCAAUAAGCGGAGGAAAAGAAACCAACCGGGAUUGCCUCAGUAACGGCGAGUGAAGCGGCAAGAGCUCAAAUUUGAAAGCUGGCCCCUCCGGGGUCCGCGUUGUAAUUUGCAGAGGAUGCUUUGGGUGCGGCCCCCGUCUAAGUGCCCUGGAACGGGCCGUCAGAGAGGGUGAGAAUCCCGUCUUGGGCGGGGUGUCCGUGCCCGUGUAAAGCUCCUUCGACGAGUCGAGUUGUUUGGGAAUGCAGCUCUAAAUGGGUGGUAAAUUUCAUCUAAAGCUAAAUACUGGCCGGAGACCGAUAGCGCACAAGUAGAGUGAUCGAAAGAUGAAAAGCACUUUGAAAAGAGAGUUAAACAGCACGUGAAAUUGUUGAAAGGGAAGCGCUUGCGACCAGACUCGCCCUCGGGGUUCAGCCGGCACUCGUGCCGGUGUACUUCCCCGGGGGCGGGCCAGCGUCAGCUUGGGCGGCCGGUCAAAGGCCUCCGGAAUGUAGUGCCCCCCGGGGCACCUUAUAGCCGGAGGUGCAAUGCGGCCAGCCUGGGCUGAGGAACGCGCUUCGGCACGGACGCUGGCAUAAUGGUCGCAAACGACC
This 610-nucleotide ribosomal RNA is filed under the name Aspergillus japonicus. RNAcentral describes it as "eukaryotic LSU rRNA". It matches the Rfam family "Eukaryotic large subunit ribosomal RNA", at positions 24 to 649 of the family's 3401-position model. Lineage: Eukaryota; Fungi; Ascomycota; Eurotiomycetes; Eurotiales; Aspergillaceae. The record is from RNAcentral.